This 253-nucleotide ribosomal RNA is filed under the name uncultured bacterium. RNAcentral's name for it is "partial 16S ribosomal RNA". It matches the Rfam family "Bacterial small subunit ribosomal RNA", at positions 524 to 776 of the family's 1533-position model. The record is from RNAcentral.
UACGUAGGUGGCUAGCGUUGCUCGGAAUCACUGGGCGUAAAGGGUGCGUAGGCGGGUUUUUAAGUCAGAGGUGAAAUCCUGGAGCUCAACUCCAGAACUGCCUUUGAUACUGAAAGUCUUGAGUAUGGGAGAGGUGAGUGGAACUGCGAGUGUAGAGGUGAAAUUCGUAGAUAUUCGCAAGAACACCAGUGGCGAAGGCGGCUCACUGGCCCAUUACUGACGCUGAGGCACGAAAGCGUGGGGAGCAAACAGG